UACCAGCACCCCGAGUGGUCGGGACGAUUAUUGGGCCUAAAGCAUCCGUAGCCGGUUUUACAAGUCCUCCGUUAAAUCCAGCUGCUUAACAGAUGGGCUGCGGAGGAUACUAUAAGACUAGGAGGCAGGAGAGGCAAGCGGUACUCAGUGGGUAGGGGUAAAAUCCGUUGAUCCAUUGAAGACCACCAGUGGCGAAGGCGGCUUGCCAGAACGCGCUCGACGGUGAGGGAUGAAAGCUGGGGGAGCAAACCGG
Molecule: ribosomal RNA, 253 nt
Filed under: uncultured bacterium
Lineage: Bacteria
Description: partial 16S ribosomal RNA
Rfam family: Archaeal small subunit ribosomal RNA
Source: RNAcentral